RNAcentral lists this ribosomal RNA (467 nucleotides) under uncultured bacterium. RNAcentral's name for it is "partial 16S ribosomal RNA". It matches the Rfam family "Bacterial small subunit ribosomal RNA", at positions 29 to 507 of the family's 1533-position model. The record is from RNAcentral.
ACGAACGCUGGCGGCGUGCUUAACACAUGCAAGUCGAACGGAAAGGCCCUGCUUUUGUGGGGUGCUCGCGUGGCGAACGGGUGAGUAACACGUGAGUAACCUGCCCUUGACUUUGGGAUAACUUCAGGAAACUGGGGCUAAUACCGGAUAGGAGCUCCUGCUGCAUGGUGGGGGUUGGAAAGUUUCGGCGGUUGGGGAUGGACUCGCGGCUUAUCAGCUUGUUGGUGGGGUAGUGGCUUACCAAGGCUUUGACGGGUAGCCGGCCUGAGAGGGUGACCGGCCACAUUGGGACUGAGAUACGGCCCAGACUCCUACGGGAGGCAGCAGUGGGGAAUAUUGCACAAUGGGCGGAAGCCUGAUGCAGCAACGCCGCGUGCGGGAUGACGGCCUUCGGGUUGUAAACCGCUUUCGCCUGUGACGAAGUGUGAGUGACGGUAAUGGGUAAAGAAGCACCGGCUAACUACGUG